Molecule: long non-coding RNA, 910 nt
Organism: Myotis myotis
Lineage: Eukaryota; Metazoa; Chordata; Mammalia; Chiroptera; Vespertilionidae
Exons: 3
Source: RefSeq, a predicted model, not a curated record
UGCCCACGGGGCUGCCCUCCUCCAGCUCACCCAGCGACAGGCACACCUUGAGGCCUGAGACUGGCAGAGGUGCUGCAGGGACAAGGAGCUGAAAUGACUCGUCUUGGGCGUCCCUCCACCCCCAUGCCUCCUCCAUGACUGAAAUCAUGUGCUGCAAUCCUGUCCUUCACUCCCAAGGUGGCUCCCCUGGCCCCAGACACCCUCAUCCAUCACAUGGUUUUGUCAUUUUGGGAGCCACCCAUAAUGUGUUCGGCAAAGCAAGACGUCCUGGAACCCCUCCCCCACCAAGAGGAAUGUCUCCAUGAAAGUCAUGUGUGUGUGUGUGUGUGUGUGUGUGUGCACGCACGCCCAUCCUUGCUGAACACCUUCUUCGCCUCCUUUCUUAGGGUCACCACUCAGACUUGGGCUGAGAGCCAGACCUUCCUGUCGUCUCUGGGCCCCUGCAGGUCCACUGGUCCCCAGCAGCCCUAGAGAGAGCCCACACCGGCAGGAACACGUUUGCGGAAGUCCUGCCGCUUACCGGGCACUAUGCCAAUCUUCACCGGCACCUUCACAGGGACGCCAUGCGGCAGGUUUAUUGCUGCAAACCCCCCAGGAUCCUCGGCGGAAAGCAGUGGUGCAUGAGCUGGUCCGUCCUUCACAGCAGGGGAGAGCGGAGGAGAGACUGGGACCGUAAUGGGGGUUACUGGCCGCGAGGCCCAAAAAGCGCUUGGCCUGUGCUUGGCACACAGCACAUCCUCCGUAAGUGAUGGCCCGUUGUCCCUUCGCCAGCAGCCAGGUACAGGUGGCCCGAGGGCCCUCUCUCCCAGGCUGCUUGCACCCCCUUUCUGAUGGACGCGCUGGCCUCCUCGGGCGCGGCUGGGGGAGCAUGAGACAGGAGGAUUUGGGGCGAGUGACGGGAAUGCGGACC